AACCUAUGGACGGGAAUAACCUCGGGAAACUGAGAAUCAUGCCCGAUAGAACAUUAUGCCUGGAAUGGUUUAUGUUCCAAAUGAUUUAUCGCCGUAGGAUGGGACUGCGGCCUAUCAGUUUGUUGGUGAGGUAAUGGCCCACCAAGACUAUUACAGGUACGGGCUCUGAGAGGAGUAGCCCGGAGAUGGGUACUGAGACACGGACCCAGGCCCUAUGGGGCGCAGCAGGCAAGAAAACUUUGCAAUGUGCGAAAGCACGACAAGGUUAAUCCGAGUGGUUUCUGCUAAAGAAACCUUUUGUCAGUCCUAAAAACACUGAUGAAUAAGGGGUGGGCAAGUUCUGGUGUCAGCCGCCGCGAUAAAACCAGCACCUCAAGUGGACAGGAUGAUUAUUGGGACUAAAGCAUCCGUAGCCGGCUCUGUAAGUUUUCGGUUAAAUCUGUACCCUCAACGUACAGG
RNAcentral lists this ribosomal RNA (459 nucleotides) under uncultured crenarchaeote. RNAcentral's name for it is "bacterial SSU rRNA". It matches the Rfam family "Archaeal small subunit ribosomal RNA", at positions 111 to 570 of the family's 1478-position model. The record is from RNAcentral. Lineage: Archaea; Thermoproteati; Thermoproteota.